AUUACCCCCCUGGAAAAAACAGUUGGGAAAGAAUGUCAGGCCAAUUGCCGCGAGCGGCCACGAGAUUUAAGUUUAAGGCAGUGAACCAUUCCACCGAUUCGUUUAACUUUUAGUUAAAAUUUGACACUCCGAUGGUUAUUUUCCCAUCGUGGUUAAAAUUUUACUCCGAAGCCGACCCAUUUGAGUUUUGACAGAUUGAUAGUUAUUCGGAACGAAAUGGAUUUGGCGCCAAUUUUGUCGCGAACAAAGUUUAACUAUCGAACUGUCAAAUCUAACCAUGCUCCGGAGCAGGGUUAUUUUUAACCACGGCGAAAUAACCAUCGAACUGUCAAAUUUUAACUAAAAGUAAAACGAAUCUGUGGAAUGGUUCACAGCCUAAGAAGUAUUUUCUUUCAUUUGAAGGAUUGGAUUACGAUUUAUAAGGAUAUCGAAAAGGUUUAGACUCAACAACUUCUACAAAUAUCAAAUUUCAGAAGCCGGUGGGUUAUCAAGCUACAAUGAGCUCUAUGCAGAAUUCCACUUCGAAAGAUGAGAAUAGUUUAAGGCCUAUACAUACACCAUGUUGCGCCAAUCGUUAACGGUAACCUUUGAAGUUUCGGAAACGACGAAUGUGUACGCUGACGUAAAUGGAGUUAAUGCAUUUCCGUGAUUCACAUGGAGUUGUUACUUUAUAUUUGUAUUCAAUCAAUUUUCAAUAUUUCAUAAGCCGUUUAAAUGAUGUGACUAUUGUAAUGUUAGUCUUUUUGAAAUAAAAUAAUUACUUUGAA
Armigeres subalbatus is the source of this 767-nucleotide long non-coding RNA. RefSeq lists it as uncharacterized. NCBI's taxonomy places the organism in Eukaryota, Metazoa, Arthropoda, Insecta, Diptera, Culicidae. The record is from RefSeq and is a predicted model, not a curated record. The transcript is spliced from 2 exons.